RNAcentral lists this ribosomal RNA (486 nucleotides) under uncultured bacterium. RNAcentral describes it as "partial 16S ribosomal RNA". It matches the Rfam family "Bacterial small subunit ribosomal RNA", at positions 30 to 507 of the family's 1533-position model. The record is from RNAcentral.
AUUGAACGCUGGCGGCAUGCCUUACACAUGCAAGUCGAACGGCAGCACGGGUGCUUGCACCUGGUGGCGAGUGGCGAACGGGUGAGUAAUACAUCGGAACAUGCCCUGUAGUGGGGGAUAGCCCGGCGAAAGCCGGAUUAAUACCGCAUACGAUCUACGGAUGAAAGCGGGGGACCUUCGGGCCUCGCGCUAUAGGGUUGGCCGAUGGCUGAUUAGCUAGUUGGUGGGGUAAAGGCCUACCAAGGCGACGAUCAGUAGCUGGUCUGAGAGGACGACCAGCCACACUGGGACUGAGACACGGCCCAGACUCCUACGGGAGGCAGCAGUGGGGAAUUUUGGACAACGGGCGAAAGCCUGAUCCAGCAAUGCCGCGUGUGUGAAGAAGGCCUUCGGGUUGUAAAGCACUUUUGUCCGGAAAGAAAUCCUUGGCCCUAAUACGGUCGGGGGAUGACGGUACCGGAAGAAUAAGCACCGGCUAACUACGUG